Molecule: ribosomal RNA, 373 nt
Filed under: uncultured organism
Description: partial 16S ribosomal RNA
Rfam family: Bacterial small subunit ribosomal RNA
Source: RNAcentral
GUAGGUGGCAAGCGUUGUCCGGAAUUAUUGGGCGUAAAGCGCGCGCAGGCGGUUCUUUAAGUCUGAUGUGAAAGCCCACGGCUCAACCGUGGAGGGUCAUUGGAAACUGGAGAACUUGAGUACAGAAGAGGAAAGCGGAGUUCCACGUGUAGCGGUGAAAUGCGUAGAGAUGUGGAGGAACACCAGUGGCGAAGGCGGCUUUCUGGUCUGUAACUGACGCUGAGGCGCGAAAGCGUGGGGGAGCAAACAGGAUUAGAUACCCUGGUAGUCCACGCCGUAAACGAUGAGUGCUAAGUGUUAGGGGGUUUUCCGCCCCUUAGUGCUGCAGCUAACGCAUUAAGCACUCCGCCCUGGGAGUACGGCCGCAAGGCUG